Molecule: ribosomal RNA, 482 nt
Filed under: uncultured bacterium
Lineage: Bacteria
Description: partial 16S ribosomal RNA
Rfam family: Bacterial small subunit ribosomal RNA
Source: RNAcentral
GACGAACGCUGGCGGCGUGCUUAACACAUGCAAGUCGAACGCUGAAGCUCAGCUUGCUGGGUGGAUGAGUGGCGAACGGGUGAGUAACACGUGAGUAACCUGCCCUCUUCUUUGGGAUAACGCCCGGAAACGGGUGCUAAUACUGGAUAUUCACUGAUUCUCGCAUGGGGGUUGGUGGAAAGGUUUUUUCUGGUGGGGGAUGGGCUCGCGGCCUAUCAGCUUGUUGGUGGGGUGAUGGCCUACCAAGGCUUUGACGGGUAGCCGGCCUGAGAGGGUGACCGGUCACAUUGGGACUGAGAUACGGCCCAGACUCCUACGGGAGGCAGCAGUGGGGAAUAUUGCACAAUGGGCGAAAGCCUGAUGCAGCGACGCCGCGUGAGGGAUGGAGGCCUUCGGGUUGUAAGCCUCUUUCGCUCAUGGUCAAGCCGCAGCUUUGGGUUGUGGUGAGGGUAGUGGGUAAAGAAGCGCCGGCUAACUACGUG